This 28-nucleotide non-coding RNA is filed under the name Homo sapiens (human). Lineage: Eukaryota; Metazoa; Chordata; Mammalia; Primates; Hominidae. The record is from RNAcentral.
UGGUGGAUGAUGAAAUGUUGGGACCAUC